Molecule: ribosomal RNA, 497 nt
Filed under: uncultured bacterium
Lineage: Bacteria
Description: partial 16S ribosomal RNA
Rfam family: Bacterial small subunit ribosomal RNA
Source: RNAcentral
GAUGAACGCUGGCGGCGUGCCUAAUACAUGCAAGUCGAGCGAACAGACGAGGAGCUUGCUCCUCUGACGUUAGCGGCGGACGGGUGAGUAACACGUGGAUAACCUACCUAUAAGACUGGGAUAACUUCGGGAAACCGGAGCUAAUACCGGAUAACAUGUUGAACCGCAUGGUUCAACAGUGGAAGACGGUCUUGCUGUCACUUAUAGAUGGAUCCGCGCUGCAUUAGUUAGUUGGUAAGGUAACGGCUUACCAAGGCAACGAUGCUUAGCCGACCUGAGAGGGUGAUCGGACACACGGGAACUGAGACAGGGCACAGACUCUGACGGGAGGACGCAGUAGGGAAUCUUCCGCAAAGGGGGAAAGCCUGACGGAGCAACGUCGCGGGAGUGAAGAAGGUCUUCGGCUCGUAAAGCUCUGUUAGUAGGGAAGAACAAAUGUGUAAGUAACUAUGCACGUCUUGACGGUACCUAAUCAGAAAGCCACGGCUAACUACGUG